GCAACCUGCGGCUCGCGCGCGAGGACCGCACGGUGUUCCUCAGCCUGCUCGGCAUCUCGUGGCUGUGGUUUGUCGGCGCGACAUUUCUCACGUCGUUUUUCGGCUUUGCGAAGGAUGUACUG
Non-coding RNA from Burkholderia sp. TSV86, 122 nucleotides. The record is from Rfam. Lineage: Bacteria; Pseudomonadati; Pseudomonadota; Betaproteobacteria; Burkholderiales; Burkholderiaceae.